This 21-nucleotide non-coding RNA is filed under the name Caenorhabditis elegans. The record is from RNAcentral. Lineage: Eukaryota; Metazoa; Nematoda; Chromadorea; Rhabditida; Rhabditidae.
UCAUCUCAAAAUUGAAGCAGG